CUCCAACUGACGAGUCCCAAAUAGGAUGAAAUGCGCCUUAUCCUGGAU
RNAcentral lists this non-coding RNA (48 nucleotides) under Trichobilharzia regenti. Lineage: Eukaryota; Metazoa; Platyhelminthes; Trematoda; Strigeidida; Schistosomatidae. The record is from RNAcentral.